UACGUAGGGCGCAAGCGUUGUCCGGAUUUAUUGGGCGUAAAGAGCUCGUAGGCGGCUCGGUAAGUCGGGUGUGAAAUUUCGAGGCUCAACCUCGAAACGCCACCCGAUACUGCUGUGGCUAGAGUCCGGUAGGGGAGCGUGGAAUUCCUGGUGUAGCGGUGAAAUGCGUAGAUAUCGGGAGGAACACCUGUGGCGAAGGCGGCCGCCUGGUUGGAUACUGACGCUGAGACGCGAAAGCGUGGGGAGCAAACAGG
RNAcentral lists this ribosomal RNA (254 nucleotides) under uncultured bacterium. RNAcentral describes it as "partial 16S ribosomal RNA". It matches the Rfam family "Bacterial small subunit ribosomal RNA", at positions 524 to 776 of the family's 1533-position model. The record is from RNAcentral.